AACGAACGCUGGCGGCAUGCCUAACACAUGCAAGUCGAACGAGACCUUCGGGUCUAGUGGCGCACGGGUGCGUAACGCGUGGGAACCUGCCCUUAGGUUCGGAAUAACUCCCCGAAAGGGGUGCUAAUACCGGAUAAUGUCUUCGGACCAAAGAUUUAUCGCCUUUGGAUGGGCCCGCGUUGGAUUAGCUAGUUGGUAGAGUAAAAGCCUACCAAGGCGACGAUCCAUAGCUGGUCUGAGAGGAUGAUCAGCCACACUGGGACUGAGACACGGCCCAGACUCCUACGGGAAGCAGCAGUGGGGAAUAUUGGACAAUGGGCGAAAGUCUGAUCCAGCAAUGCCGCGUGAGUGAUGAAGGCCUUAGGGUUGUAAAGCUCUUUUACCCGGGAUGAUAAUGACAGUACCGGGAGAAUAAGCUCCGGCUAACUCCGUG
This 433-nucleotide ribosomal RNA is filed under the name uncultured bacterium. RNAcentral describes it as "partial 16S ribosomal RNA". It matches the Rfam family "Bacterial small subunit ribosomal RNA", at positions 29 to 507 of the family's 1533-position model. The record is from RNAcentral.